This is a long non-coding RNA of Pongo pygmaeus (Bornean orangutan), 534 nucleotides long. RefSeq lists it as uncharacterized. NCBI's taxonomy places the organism in Eukaryota, Metazoa, Chordata, Mammalia, Primates, Hominidae. The transcript has 3 exons. The record is from RefSeq and is a predicted model, not a curated record.
GGAAGGGGACGUCUCUGCAGAGCCGAGAUUUGGGCUCUGAAGCCCGACGGACCUUCAGCAUGCCUGUGCGGGAUAAGUGAGCUUUCGCGGAGUGAAGGGGCACGUCUUGUUCCUACCGACCGUGCUUCUACCCCCAGGCUUUGGUGAAUCUUGACACCCCAUUCUAAGUUUGGAUCAGCUUCCAACAUUUUAUCCUUUGCACUUUCAACCUUGUGAAGUAUCUCUGAGUAUCCAUUUAAGGUAAAGAUUUUUAAUGGCAUCAGUUCCUCUGGGAGAUCUUCAUCCUUUUCAUCGCUACAAGUUUUUGCAUUUAUGUUGGGUUUACACCUGAAUCCCGGUCCAAAGGCUGUCCCACCUCCUCUAACUCUUUCCCUUCUGGAUAUUUCCUUCAAUAAAUCUGUUGCACAUCUCACCUCAUUUUGGCAUCUGCUUCUCAAAGGUUUUUUAAUACAAGUAAUUCUGAGAGUGGUCCAAGAAAACAGGAGUAACAUGGAGUUUGGAACUGGAUCUGUCGCCACCUGGCAGGUGAAGAGA